RNAcentral lists this ribosomal RNA (253 nucleotides) under uncultured Eubacteriales bacterium. RNAcentral describes it as "uncultured Clostridiales bacterium partial 16S ribosomal RNA". It matches the Rfam family "Bacterial small subunit ribosomal RNA", at positions 524 to 776 of the family's 1533-position model. Lineage: Bacteria; Bacillati; Bacillota; Clostridia; Eubacteriales. The record is from RNAcentral.
UACGUAGGGGGCAAGCGUUAUCCGGAUUUACUGGGUGUAAAGGGAGCGUAGACGGUUAAGUAAGUCUGGAGUGAAAGGCGGGGGCCCAACCCCCGGACUGCUCUGGAAACUAUGUUACUGGAGUGCAGGAGAGGUAAGCGGAAUUCCUAGUGUAGCGGUGAAAUGCGUAGAUAUUAGGAGGAACACCAGUGGCGGAGGCGGCUUACUGGACGGUAACUGACGCUGAGGCUCGAAAGCGUGGGGAGCAAACAGG